UCACAUUGGUGGCUGAUGUACAGGUGGGUUGUAGUUAACAAACAGUUACACAGAAACACACCAUAUUGCUUUUGUUAACUCUGAGUUGUGUGGAAUUUUGUAGGGGAAGAAUGUACUGGCAGUUGAUGCAUAUGUUGUGGUUACGUGGCUACCACCACUUAAUCAAGAUCCUUUUUUAUCAUUUCCAAAUAAUAUUGCGCUCAAGGAUUAUCUGCUUUUUCCUGCUUGGAAGCCUGGUCAUUGGAUGCUAUGUGUCAUGAAGCCUAAAGACAGGCAAAUGUUCUUUCUUGAUUCAGCCAAUCCUUAUGGAUUGGGAGAUGGUCGAUACUUGACGCUUUUCAGGUUGCUUAAGUUUAAUGGUUUGGAACCUGUUCAAGGUUCGCUGUUCA
This is a long non-coding RNA of Erpetoichthys calabaricus (reedfish), 389 nucleotides long. RefSeq lists it as uncharacterized. Lineage: Eukaryota; Metazoa; Chordata; Cladistia; Polypteriformes; Polypteridae. The record is from RefSeq and is a predicted model, not a curated record. The transcript has 3 exons.